This 253-nucleotide ribosomal RNA is filed under the name uncultured bacterium. Its description in RNAcentral is "partial 16S ribosomal RNA". It matches the Rfam family "Bacterial small subunit ribosomal RNA", at positions 524 to 776 of the family's 1533-position model. The record is from RNAcentral.
UACGGAGGGGACUAGCGUUGUUCGGAAUUACUGGGCGUAAAGCGCACGUAGGCGGAUUUGUUAGUCAGGGGUGAAAUCCCGAGGCUCAACCUCGGAACUGCCUUUGAUACUGCAAAUCUCGAGUCCGGAAGAGGUGAGUGGAAUUCCUAGUGUAGAGGUGAAAUUCGUAGAUAUUCGGAAGAACACCAGUGGCGAAGGCGACUUACUGGACGAUUGUUGACGCUGAGGUGCGAAAGCGUGGGGAGCAAACAGG